Molecule: ribosomal RNA, 231 nt
Filed under: uncultured bacterium
Lineage: Bacteria
Description: partial 16S ribosomal RNA
Rfam family: Bacterial small subunit ribosomal RNA
Source: RNAcentral
GAUCAUGGCUCAGGAUGGACGCUAGCUACAGGCUUAACACAUGCAAGUCGAGGGGCAGCAUGGUCUUAGCUUGCUAAGGCCGAUGGCGACCGGCGCACGGGUGAGUAACGCGUAUCCAACCUGCCUUACACUCUUGGACAGCCUUCUGAAAGGGCGAUUAAUACAAGAUGUUAUCAUGAGUAAGCAUUUUCACAUGAUUAAAGGUUUACCGGUGUAAGAUGGGGAUGCGUU